Molecule: ribosomal RNA, 1390 nt
Filed under: uncultured bacterium
Lineage: Bacteria
Description: bacterial SSU rRNA
Rfam family: Bacterial small subunit ribosomal RNA
Source: RNAcentral
GAGUUUGAUCCUGGCUCAGGACGAACGCUGGCGGCGUGCUUAACACAUGCAAGUCGAACGAAGCUUGAUUACGGAAUUCUUCGGAAAGAAGUAUGAUAUGACUUAGUGGCGGACGGGUGAGUAACGCGUGAGUAACCUGCCUUUCAGAGGGGGAUAACGUUUGGAAACGAACGCUAAUACCGCAUGAAAUAUAUUUAAGGCAUCUUAGAUAUAUCAAAGAUUUAUCGCUGAGAGAUGGACUCGCGUCUGAUUAGAUAGUUGGUGAGGUAACGGCUCACCAAGUCGACGAUCAGUAGCCGGACUGAGAGGUUGAACGGCCACAUUGGGACUGAGACAUGGCCCAGACUCCUACGGGAGGCAGCAGUGGGGAAUAUUGCACAAUGGGCGCAAGCCUGAUGCAGCAACGCCGCGUGAGGGAAGACGGUCUUCGGAUUGUAAACCUUUGUCUUUGGUGAAGAAGAAAGUGACGGUAGCCAAGGAGGAAGCCACGGCUAACUACGUGCCAGCAGCCGCGGUAAUACGUAGGUGGCAAGCGUUGUCCGGAAUUACUGGGUGUAAAGGGAGCGCAGGCGGGACAGCAAGUUGGAUGUGAAAUACCGAGGCUUAACCACGGAGCUGCAUCCAAAACUGUUGUUCUUGAGUGAAGUAGAGGUAGGCGGAAUUCCGAGUGUAGCGGUGAAAUGCGUAGAUAUUCGGAGGAACACCAGUGGCGAAGGCGGCCUACUGGGCUUUAACUGACGCUGAGGCUCGAAAGUGUGGGGAGCAAACAGGAUUAGAUACCCUGGUAGUCCACACUGUAAACGAUGAUUGCUAGGUGUGGGGGGUCUGACCCCCUCCGUGCCGGAGUUAACGCAAUAAGCAAUCCACCUGGGGAGUACGGCCGCAAGGUUGAAACUCAAAGGAAUUGACGGGGGCCCGCACAAGCAGUGGAUUAUGUGGUUUAAUUCGAAGCAACGCGAAGAACCUUACCAGGUCUUGACAUCCGACUAACGAGAUAGAGAUAUGUCAGGUGCCCUUCGGGGAAAGUCGAGACAGGUGGUGCAUGGUUGUCGUCAGCUCGCGUCGUGAGAUGUUGGGUUAAGUCCCGCAACGAGCGCAACCCCUGCCAUUAGUUGCUACGCAAGAGCUCUCUAAUGGGACCGCUACCGACAAGGUGGAGGAAGGUGGGGACGACGUCAAAUCAUCAUGCCCCUUAUGACCUGGGCUACACACGUAAUACAAUGGCCGUUAACAACGAGGAGCAAACCCGCGAGGGGGAGCAAAACUCCAAAAACGGUCUCAGUUCGGAUUGCAGGCUGCAACUCGCCUGCAUGAAGUUGGAAUUGCUAGUAAUUGCGGAUCAGCAUGCCGCGGUGAAUACGUUCCCGGGCCUUGCACACACCGCCCGUCA